CCUACGGGAGGCAGCAGUGGGGAAUAUUGCACAAUGGGCGGAAGCCUGAUGCAGCGACGCCGCGUGAGGGAUGAAGGCCUUCGGGUUGUAAACCUCUUUCAGCAGGGACGAAGCGUGAGUGACGGUACCUGCAGAAGAAGCACCGGCUAACUACGUGCCAGCAGCCGCGGUAAUACGUAGGGUGCGAGCGUUGUCCGGAAUUACUGGGCGUAAAGAGUUCGUAGGCGGUUUGUCGCGUCGUUUGUGAAAACCCGGGGCUCAACUUCGGGCUUGCAGGCGAUACGGGCAGACUUGAGUGUUUCAGGGGAGACUGGAAUUCCUGGUGUAGCGGUGAAAUGCGCAGAUAUCAGGAGGAACACCGGUGGCGAAGGCGGGUCUCUGGGAAACAACUGACGCUGAGGAACGAAAGCGUGGGUAGCAAACAGGAUUAGAUACCCUGGUAGUCCACGCCGUAAACGGUGGCGCUAGGUGUGGGUCUUCCACGGAGUCUGUGCCGUAGCUAACGCAUUAAGCGCCCGCCCUGGGGUAGGUACGGCCGCGACGACGAACGUAACGAACGAAGUAGACGGCGUGUGAGUUGCGACGACGACGACGAGGAGGAGG
RNAcentral lists this ribosomal RNA (603 nucleotides) under uncultured bacterium. Its description in RNAcentral is "bacterial SSU rRNA". The stretch from base 1 to 520 matches the Rfam family "Bacterial small subunit ribosomal RNA", at positions 338 to 873 of the family's 1533-position model. The record is from RNAcentral.